UCUCCGUUGGUGAACCAGCGGAGGGAUCAUUAUCGAGUUUAUAACUCCCAAACCCUAUGUGAACUUACCACUUGUUGCUUCGGCGCGCGCUUCGGUGCCGCCGAGGACACUUAAACUCUUUGUUUUUAUAAGCAUUUCUGAGUGGCCGAAAGGCAAAAUACAAAUGAAUCAAAACUUUCAACAACGGAUCUCUUGGUUCUA
This 201-nucleotide unclassified non-coding RNA is filed under the name plant metagenome. RNAcentral's name for it is "partial contains small subunit ribosomal RNA, internal transcribed spacer 1, and 5.8S ribosomal RNA". The record is from RNAcentral.